Hibiscus syriacus is the source of this 131-nucleotide long non-coding RNA. RefSeq lists it as uncharacterized. NCBI's taxonomy places the organism in Eukaryota, Viridiplantae, Streptophyta, Magnoliopsida, Malvales, Malvaceae. The transcript is spliced from 3 exons. The record is from RefSeq and is a predicted model, not a curated record.
AAAAAAUUUGUUGAAUACUUCCUGAAUCGGUCUUUAUCUGUUUCAUGUCCCUCGGAUGCGCUUCUGAACAAGAAAAUCUCUCUUAAUCUCCGUUUUCUGGAAGAACCUUUGUUUGAAGAAAGCGAAGGCUU